RNAcentral lists this ribosomal RNA (278 nucleotides) under uncultured bacterium. Its description in RNAcentral is "partial 16S ribosomal RNA". It matches the Rfam family "Bacterial small subunit ribosomal RNA", at positions 333 to 607 of the family's 1533-position model. The record is from RNAcentral.
GGUCCCCUACGGGACGCAGCAGUGAGGAAUAUUGGUCAAUGGGCGCAAGCCUGAACCAGCCACGUCGCGUGAGGGAUGACGGUCCUAUGGAUUGUAAACCUCUUUUGUCGGGGAGCAAGGCCCGCCACGUGUGGCGGGAAGGAGAGUACCCGAAGAAAAAGCAUCGGCUAACUCCGUGCCAGCAGCCGCGGUAAUACGGAGGAUGCGAGCGUUAUCCGGAUUUAUUGGGUUUUAAGGGUGCGUAGGCGGAAGGGUCAGUCAGCGGUCAAAUGUCGGUG